Molecule: transfer-messenger RNA, 371 nt
Filed under: Gulosibacter chungangensis
Lineage: Bacteria; Bacillati; Actinomycetota; Actinomycetes; Micrococcales; Microbacteriaceae
Description: Standard tmRNA
Rfam family: transfer-messenger RNA
About the family: Bacterial tmRNA, also known as 10Sa RNA or SsrA, is named for its dual tRNA and mRNA-like properties. Its role is to liberate the mRNA from a stalled ribosome.
Source: Rfam by way of RNAcentral
GGGGAUGAUCGGUUUCGACAUGGCUUGUGAAACUGCGUGAAGCGGGUCGAGGACGCGGGGUUAUCUCGUUAACGCCCUCCGCAAACUAUAAGUGCCAAUAACAAGCGCACUGACUUCGCCCUCGCUGCCUAGUAGCGAGCCCGAGUCCGUUAGCCCAGAUCUGUGUUCGGUCUGGUUCCUAGCGUCAUUUUGAACACUUGCUGCGUAGCCGCGUCACAGGGCUCCGCGGGACUUUUACUGUGACUGGGUUUGUGUCGGUCAAGGUGUUUGCCCCCAUGGCCGGAACCAAGUAACACGCUCGGCAAACUGCACCCGGAGAAUCCGCAGAAUCUCAGUCGUGGACCGGGGUUCAAUUCCCCGCAUCUCCACUU